ACUAGCGCAAAGUUAGUUUAUGGGGACACCACCCCGUACCUAGGAGAACUAGGAUUGGACUUCUUGAAGGAGAAAACAAAUG
Molecule: non-coding RNA, 82 nt
Filed under: unclassified sequences
Description: freshwater-2 RNA
Rfam family: freshwater-2 RNA
About the family: Aquatic, esp. fresh water.
Source: RNAcentral